AUUGAACGCUGGCGGCAGGCCUAACACAUGCAAGUCGAACGAGUGGCGGACGGGUGAGUAAUGUCUGGGAAACUGCCCGAUGGAGGGGGAUAACUACUGGAAACGGUAGCUAAUACCGCAUACCAUCAGAUGUGCCCAGAUGGGAUUAGCUAGUAGGUGGGGUAACGGCUCACCUAGGCGACGAUCCCUAGCUGGUCUGAGAGGCGGACAGGCCACCCUGGAACUGAGCCACGGCCCAUACUCCUACGGGAUGCAGCGGUGGGGAAUAUGCCACAAUGGGCGCAACCCUGAUGCAGCCAUCCCGCGUGUAUGAGACGGGCCUUCGGGUUGUAAAGUACUUUCAGCGAGGAGGCGUUACUCGCAGAAGAAGCACCGGCUAACUCCGUGCCAGCAGCCGCGGUAAUUC
This 406-nucleotide ribosomal RNA is filed under the name uncultured bacterium. RNAcentral's name for it is "partial 16S ribosomal RNA". It matches the Rfam family "Bacterial small subunit ribosomal RNA", at positions 30 to 526 of the family's 1533-position model. The record is from RNAcentral.